This is a long non-coding RNA of Bubalus bubalis (water buffalo), 446 nucleotides long. RefSeq lists it as uncharacterized. The record is from RefSeq and is a predicted model, not a curated record. The transcript has 3 exons. NCBI's taxonomy places the organism in Eukaryota, Metazoa, Chordata, Mammalia, Artiodactyla, Bovidae.
GGCUGGUACGAUGGAUCGGCACCGGGCACCGAGGCUCUGCUGACCGCUCGUCUCUAAUUCUUGCCUGACACAGACAUUCCCUGCCCAGGGAACUGUUUGAUUUAUGUUGAGGUUUCAGUGUGGGGAUUCUGCUGACAGGAACCAGCCAGAACAGGAGGCAGCCAGAGAGAGCCGUGCCAGGAAGAAUGUGGCCGCCGUCCUGGAAGGAGAGGACCCACUGAGAAGAACAGAACCCAGCCGGCUCAGCCCCUGAGGCUCACUCUCUCCAGGGACCUGGCCUCGGGCCCUAGUAGCCUACCUCCUACCACUGUGGGCCAUCACCAGCCCACUUCAGAAAAAGGCCAUUAAACCAGAUACUGCCCACUUCUAAAUAAAAGAGAGCUUCAAGUAAAAAUUCCACAUAUAAGUGAUACUUAUAUGCAGAGUACAUCAUGAGAAACACUGGG